Long non-coding RNA from Oreochromis aureus, 1510 nucleotides. The record is from Ensembl. Lineage: Eukaryota; Metazoa; Chordata; Actinopteri; Cichliformes; Cichlidae.
GAAAUAUCUUUAAUUUUGUUGGUAAUUAAAAACUGAUUAGGGAGUUCUCGUUUGCCUCUCAGCGAAGGCAGUCGCACUUUUUCUCCUCUCCUCUCCCUUAUCUUUCCUGCUUAGCUCCUCAUGUCCUUGUCUUGUCUCGUGUUUUUUAUUACUUUUCCCUGGAACAUUCUUUCACAGUCUGUUCUCUAAAACCUAAAGGAGGAAUUAUGGAUUGGAUCAACUGGUCCCUAAAUGCAAUUGACACCCCUUUCUCAAAGAGAAGUCUGGCUUGGGUGAGCCUGAGUGCUGAAGAUAUCUACCUAUUUGGAACCAUGGUAACAGGGUUCUGGCGGAUCGGAGCUGGCUUGGCCCUGACUUAUCAAAGAAUUAAGAAAGCGGAACCGGCUGUUCAAACCCCCACAAAGCUGCCCGCUGGGAUUGGAACGAUGGGAGAGGCGUGAGUUUCUCAAACUGGGCUCACUGAGUGCAGCACGGAUAAGAUCUUGGAGAGGCUACGGCUGCUGUGAAUACUCAGAAUAAGAUCUCUGACUGCAGACUGGAUACAUCUCGGAAGGGCUAGCUCGGAAUAAGAUCUCUGGGCGCAAAUCGGAUGACAUCUUGGGGAGGCACACUGCCGUGGGUUCUCAGAAAUCGGCUCCUUGAGCACAAGAAAUGACAAUAUCACAGAACGCAAGUAUGCCGAAGCUCGCGGCUCUCCAACGGGAGAUUGAGAGACCAGUGUUGGACUGUAGAACUGCUUUGAAAUUCAUAUGAGCUGUUCGCACUAAAGUAAAAAGCACCAUCACUUCAUGCGGUCUCGAGGCUGGAGCCGAAAAACAACACCCUGAUAACGACUGUGUUUAGUCUGUUCCUUCCCAUUCCAUGCAAGGCCACCUGGGUUGGCUGGAAGACUGUUUACUUAGCCUAGCAGGGCGAAGGACACUGUCUCAGCUGAACUAUGGACACGCACACACAUACACUUACACUGAUAAGCACACACUCAUCCCCCUCCCCUUCCAAACGCCUUCGAUGCUUGUUUCCUGCGGGGGAACACGGAGGGUCUGUGUGCCGCGUUGGAAUGGUAGCGCUGUGCAGGGCGGCUGCUGUGUUCGCUUCGUAUUACUCCUCACCCCCCACCCAAUCCUGUGGCUUGUCAUGUCUUUCACAAAGUUGUGCUGUGGACAUUUAUGUGCUUUUUUGUGCAGAGGAGUUUUUUUUGUUUCCUGUUCUCAUGCUGUCCUACCAUGGAAGCACAGCAUAAGUAGAGGUCUCUUUUUUUCCUCUUGUACUUUCCCAUUGUAGUGUACAUUUCAGUGUUUUUCUGUAACGCUACCGAUCUCCGACUUGUAUCCCCAUGUAAUGUCUGUGUUGUGUGUGUAAGGUCGGGGGGGGGUCCCAUUUCACUUCAGGGCAACCUGCAUGUGGCGAAUAAAGCAUUGAUUGAUUGAUUGAGUCUCCAAACUUCGUUCUACAUAAUACCAUCAGACAACCGGUUCCACAAAAAAAAUUACAUAUGGCACCGUGGUUAUAC